Neopsephotus bourkii (Bourke's parrot) is the source of this 382-nucleotide long non-coding RNA. RefSeq lists it as uncharacterized. NCBI's taxonomy places the organism in Eukaryota, Metazoa, Chordata, Aves, Psittaciformes, Psittacidae. The transcript is spliced from 3 exons. The record is from RefSeq and is a predicted model, not a curated record.
AGGAUUUCUCAGAGCAUAGGCAGAGAAGCAAUUUGAAUACAGGUAGAAAGGUUUCAGUGACCCUGUUCUGUCAGGCUGUGGGAGAUUGUGGGCUUAGGAUCUACCUCCACACAGCAGAAUUUGGUCCUUGGGAACAGAAGGUAAAAGAAGAACUUCCUUUGCUGGUGUUCCACUACUGAGAUUUCUUCAGGAGGAAAAUCUAAAUAAAUGGAUAUAGAAGAACCAAUGUAAAUUAUCACCCAAAGUGCUUAGCAUUACAAGCAGGGCAUAUUGAAUAAGUCCCUACACUUUGAUCUUCAGAAAAACUCAAUUCAUGUUUAAGCAAGAGCUGAAGUGGUCCUGGGAGUAAAUAAGAGAUCUGAGGGACAUCCAUCCAUCCAUC